UCCACAAGUGAAAGAGAGAGAGAGAGAGAGAAAGAAAGAAAAGAAGAGGGAGAGCUUCGAAAUCCCUAAGGUAAGCAUUGAGAUUCAUAGUUUUCUUCUUCUUCUUGAUUCUAUGUAUUUUGGGAUGGAAUGGUGGUGAUAGGUUUAAUUUCACAAGGACCUAGAGAGAGAGUUUGAUAGAUAAUCAUCCUACACAUACAAUGGGUGUUGGAGCUGGCAAUCAAAUGGAGAGGCCUUUAGAUUUUGUCACUUGGGUGUACUCAAGGUCAGGAAGGACCUUGUGUUUGUGUUUUGUUGAUCAUGGGUUCACCUGAAUGUUGUGUUAGAAGCGAAAAUGAUUAAGGAGGCGGAAGGAUUAUUGGCAGCUUGGCUUGUGUGUUAAGGAUGAAUGGAUUCAAUGAAAUGCGUGUUGAUCGAGGAUGACGUUAUUUAGUCUUUUGAAUUAUGUUUCUUUUGUAAUUCCGCAUUUACUUUUUAAACACUUGAAUUAAAGUUUAUGUUUUAUGCUUUAUUAAGCAAUGGGUACCCAUACCAUAUUUUAUAUCUUAUUUUGUAAUUUGCACAAUAUUUAUUUUGGAGUUUUAAUAAAGUUAUGA
Long non-coding RNA from Humulus lupulus (European hop), 596 nucleotides. RefSeq lists it as uncharacterized. The transcript has 3 exons. NCBI's taxonomy places the organism in Eukaryota, Viridiplantae, Streptophyta, Magnoliopsida, Rosales, Cannabaceae. The record is from RefSeq and is a predicted model, not a curated record.